GGUUAAGCGACUAAGCGUACACGGUGGAUGCCCUGGCAGUCAGAGGCGAUGAAGGACGUGCUAAUCUGCGAUAAGCGUCGGUAAGGUGAUAUGAACCGUUAUAACCGGCGAUUUCCGAAUGGGGAAACCCAGUGUGUUUCGACACACUAUCAUUAACUGAAUCCAUAGGUUAAUGAGGCGAACCGGGGGAACUGAAACAUCUAAGUACCCCGAGGAAAAGAAAUCAACCGAGAUUCCCCCAGUAGCGGCGAGCGAACGGGGAGCAGCCCAGAGCCUGAAUCAGUGUGUGUGUUAGUGGAAGCGUCUGGAAAGGCGCGCGAUACAGGGUGACAGCCCCGUACACAAAAAUGCACAUGCUGUGAGCUCGAUGAGUAGGGCGGGACACGUGGUAUCCUGUCUGAAUAUGGGGGGACCAUCCUCCAAGGCUAAAUACUCCUGACUGACCGAUAGUGAACCAGUACCGUGAGGGAAAGGCGAAAAGAACCCCGGCGAGGGGAGUGAAAAAGAACCUGAAACCGUGUACGUACAAGCAGUGGGAGCACGCUUAGGCGUGUGACUGCGUACCUUUUGUAUAAUGGGUCAGCGACUUAUAUUCUGUAGCAAGGUUAACCGAAUAGGGGAGCCGAAGGGAAACCGAGUCUUAACUGGGCGUUAAGUUGCAGGGUAUAGACCCGAAACCCGGUGAUCUAGCCAUGGGCAGGUUGAAGGUUGGGUAACACUAACUGGAGGACCGAACCGACUAAUGUUGAAAAAUUAGCGGAUGACUUGUGGCUGGGGGUGAAAGGCCAAUCAAACCGGGAGAUAGCUGGUUCUCCCCGAAAGCUAUUUAGGUAGCGCCUCGUGAAUUCAUCUCCGGGGGUAGAGCACUGUUUCGGCAAGGGGGUCAUCCCGACUUACCAACCCGAUGCAAACUGCGAAUACCGGAGAAUGUUAUCACGGGAGACACACGGCGGGUGCUAACGUCCGUCGUGAAGAGGGAAACAACCCAGACCGCCAGCUAAGGUCCCAAAGUCAUGGUUAAGUGGGAAACGAUGUGGGAAGGCCCAGACAGCCAGGAUGUUGGCUUAGAAGCAGCCAUCAUUUAAAGAAAGCGUAAUAGCUCACUGGUCGAGUCGGCCUGCGCGGAAGAUGUAACGGGGCUAAACCAUGCACCGAAGCUGCGGCAGCGACGCUGAUGCGUUGUUGGGUAGGGGAGCGUUCUGUAAGCCUGCGAAGGUGUGCUGUGAGGCAUGCUGGAGGUAUCAGAAGUGCGAAUGCUGACAUAAGUAACGAUAAAGCGGGUGAAAAGCCCGCUCGCCGGAAGACCAAGGGUUCCUGUCCAACGUUAAUCGGGGCAGGGUGAGUCGACCCCUAAGGCGAGGCCGAAAGGCGUAGUCGAUGGGAAACAGGUUAAUAUUCCUGUACUUGGUGUUACUGCGAAGGGGGGACGGAGAAGGCUAUGUUGGCCGGGCGACGGUUGUCCCGGUUUAAGCGUGUAGGCUGGUUUUCCAGGCAAAUCCGGAAAAUCAAGGCUGAGGCGUGAUGACGAGGCACUACGGUGCUGAAGCAACAAAUGCCCUGCUUCCAGGAAAAGCCUCUAAGCAUCAGGUAACAUCAAAUCGUACCCCAAACCGACACAGGUGGUCAGGUAGAGAAUACCAAGGCGCUUGAGAGAACUCGGGUGAAGGAACUAGGCAAAAUGGUGCCGUAACUUCGGGAGAAGGCACGCUGAUAUGUAGGUGAGGUCCCUCGCGGAUGGAGCUGAAAUCAGUCGAAGAUACCAGCUGGCUGCAACUGUUUAUUAAAAACACAGCACUGUGCAAACACGAAAGUGGACGUAUACGGUGUGACGCCUGCCCGGUGCCGGAAGGUUAAUUGAUGGGGU
RNAcentral lists this ribosomal RNA (1864 nucleotides) under Escherichia coli. Its description in RNAcentral is "partial 23S ribosomal RNA". It matches the Rfam family "Bacterial large subunit ribosomal RNA", at positions 1 to 1890 of the family's 2925-position model. Lineage: Bacteria; Pseudomonadati; Pseudomonadota; Gammaproteobacteria; Enterobacterales; Enterobacteriaceae. The record is from RNAcentral.